Molecule: transfer RNA, 84 nt
Filed under: bacterium
Lineage: Bacteria
Description: tRNA-Tyr
Rfam family: tRNA
About the family: Transfer RNA (tRNA) molecules are approximately 80 nucleotides in length.
Source: RNAcentral
GGGUGGUUGCCGGAGUCUGGUUAACGGGUCGGACUGUAAAUCCGAAGCCUCACGAGAGCGGUGGUUCAAAUCCAUCACCACCCA